UCGAACGAUGAAACUUAGCUGAUUUCUUCGGAAUGAAAUUAAGUGGAUUACCUCGUCGAACGGGUGAGUAACACGUGAGUAACCUGCCUUACACAAGGGGAUAGCCUUUGGAAACGAAGAAUAAUACCCUAUAACGUCAAUCUAUCGCAUGAUAGAAUGACCAAAGAUUUAUCGGUGUAAGAUGGACUUGCGUCUGAUUAGCUAGUUGGUGAGAUAAAAGCCCACCAAGGCGACGAUCAGUAGCCGGCUUGAGAGAGUGUACGGCCACAUUGGGACUGAGACACGGCCCAAACUCCUACGGGAGGCAGCAGUGGGGAAUUUUGCACAAUGGGGGAAACCCUGAUGCAGCGACGCCGCGUGAUUUAGAAGGCUUUCGGGUUGUAAAAAUCUUUUUUAUGGGAUGAAAAUGACAGUACCAUAAGAAUAAGGUCCGGCUAAAUACGUGCCAGCAGCCGCGGUAAUACGUAUGGACCGAGCGUUGUCCGGAAUCAUUGGGCGUAAAGGGUACGUAGGCGGCCUAGUAAGUUAGAAGUGAAGUAAUAUAGCUCAACUAUAUAAAGCUUUUAAAACUGUUAGGCUUGAGAGAUGAAAGGGAAAGUGGAAUUCCUAGUGUA
Molecule: ribosomal RNA, 614 nt
Filed under: uncultured bacterium
Lineage: Bacteria
Description: bacterial SSU rRNA
Rfam family: Bacterial small subunit ribosomal RNA
Source: RNAcentral